This 26-nucleotide non-coding RNA is filed under the name Homo sapiens (human). Lineage: Eukaryota; Metazoa; Chordata; Mammalia; Primates; Hominidae. The record is from RNAcentral.
UGCAGGCUCUGGACAGCUUUGGUCAC